AGUUAAUAAGCUUAAAGCAUUUGUUUUGAAAACAAAAGAUAGAAUUUUUAUUCUAUUAACUUCUUUAAUUUCCUAAAAUAUCUCAAUAAAUUAUAUUAUUCA
This 102-nucleotide transfer RNA is filed under the name Gryllus bimaculatus (two-spotted cricket). RNAcentral describes it as "tRNA-Ser". The stretch from base 1 to 62 matches the Rfam family "tRNA". Rfam says of the family: Transfer RNA (tRNA) molecules are approximately 80 nucleotides in length. Their secondary structure includes four short double-helical elements and three loops (D, anti-codon, and T loops). Further hydrogen bonds mediate the characteristic L-shaped molecular structure. tRNAs have two regions of fundamental functional importance: the anti-codon, which is responsible for specific mRNA codon recognition, and the 3' end, to which the tRNAs corresponding amino acid is attached (by aminoacyl-tRNA synthetases). tRNAs cope with the degeneracy of the genetic code in two manners: having more than one tRNA (with a specific anti-codon) for a particular amino acid; and 'wobble' base-pairing, i.e. permitting non-standard base-pairing at the 3rd anti-codon position. Lineage: Eukaryota; Metazoa; Arthropoda; Insecta; Orthoptera; Gryllidae. The record is from RNAcentral.